RNAcentral lists this ribosomal RNA (468 nucleotides) under uncultured bacterium. Its description in RNAcentral is "partial 16S ribosomal RNA". It matches the Rfam family "Bacterial small subunit ribosomal RNA", at positions 28 to 507 of the family's 1533-position model. The record is from RNAcentral.
GACGAACGCUGGCGGCGUGCUUAACACAUGCAAGUCGAACGGAAAGGCCCUGCUUUUGUGGGGUGCUCGAGUGGCGAACGGGUGAGUAACACGUGAGUAACCUGCCCUUGACUUUGGGAUAACUUCAGGAAACUGGGGCUAAUACCGGAUAGGAGCUCCUGCUGCAUGGUGGGGGUUGGAAAGUUUCGGCGGUUGGGGAUGGACUCGCGGCUUAUCAGCUUGUUGGUGGGGUAGUGGCUUACCAAGGCUUUGACGGGUAGCCGGCCUGAGAGGGUGACCGGCCACAUUGGGACUGAGAUACGGCCCAGACUCCUACGGGAGGCAGCAGUGGGAAAUAUUGCACAAUGGGCGGGAGCCUGAUGCAGCAACGCCGCGUGCGGGAUGACGGCCUUCGGGUUGUAAACCGCUUUCGCCUGUGACGAAGCGUGAGUGACGGUAAUGGGUAAAGAAGCACCGGCUAACUACGUG